This 253-nucleotide ribosomal RNA is filed under the name uncultured bacterium. RNAcentral describes it as "partial 16S ribosomal RNA". It matches the Rfam family "Bacterial small subunit ribosomal RNA", at positions 524 to 776 of the family's 1533-position model. The record is from RNAcentral.
UACGUAGGGGGCAAGCGUUGUCCGGAUUUAUUGGGCGUAAAGAGCGUGUAGGCGGUUUGGUAGGUCCGUUGUGAAAACUCGAGGCUCAACCUCGAGACGCCGAUGGAAACCAUCAGACUAGAGUCCGGAAGAGGAGAGUGGAAUUCCUGGUGUAGCGGUGAAAUGCGCAGAUAUCAGGAAGAACACCCGUGGCUAAGGCAGCUCUCUAGUACGGUACUGACGCUGAGACGCGAAAGCGUGGGGAGCGAACAGG